Molecule: transfer RNA, 40 nt
Filed under: Pandanus simplex
Lineage: Eukaryota; Viridiplantae; Streptophyta; Magnoliopsida; Pandanales; Pandanaceae
Description: partial tRNA-His
Source: RNAcentral
CCGGAUGUAGCCAAGUGGAUCAAGGCAGUGGAUUGUGAAU